This 67-nucleotide transfer RNA is filed under the name Marmota monax (woodchuck). Its description in RNAcentral is "tRNA.Ala". The record is from RNAcentral. Lineage: Eukaryota; Metazoa; Chordata; Mammalia; Rodentia; Sciuridae.
GUGUAGCUCAGUGGCAUAGCACUUGUCUAGCAUAUGCAAGACCCUGGGUUCAAUACCCAGCACCACA